RNAcentral lists this ribosomal RNA (451 nucleotides) under uncultured bacterium. RNAcentral's name for it is "partial 16S ribosomal RNA". It matches the Rfam family "Bacterial small subunit ribosomal RNA", at positions 29 to 523 of the family's 1533-position model. The record is from RNAcentral.
AACGAACGCUGGCGGCAGGCUUAACACAUGCAAGUCGAACGGGCGUAGCAAUACGUCAGUGGCAGACGGGUGAGUAACACGUGGGAAUAUCCCUUUCAGCUCGGAAUAACUCAGGGAAACUUGAGCUAAUACCGAAUACGUCUUUCGGGAGAAAGAUUUAUCACUGAGAGAUUAGCCCGCGUCUGAUUAGCUAGUUGGUGAGGUAAUGGCUCAACAAGGCGACGAUCAGUAGCUGGUCUGAGAGGAUGAUCAGCCACACUGGGACAGAGACACGGCCCAGACUCCUACGGGAGGCAGCAGUGGGGAAUAUUGGACAAUGGGGGCAACCCUGAUCCAGCCAUGCCGCGUGAGUGAUGAAGGCCUUAGGGUUGUAAAGCUCUUUUGCUAGGGAAGAUAAUGACUGUACCUAGAGAAUAAGCCCCGGCUAACUUCGUGCCAGCAGCCGCCGCGG